CCGGCAGAAAGUGGCAGGAAAACUCAGCCCAUUCCAAGCAGCCUGGUGCUCCAGUGGUAAGGGAGCCGCCACCAGAACCACCAGCCCCAGCACCCCUCCUUUCCGGGACCCCAGAGGAACCUCAGAAUGGGUACCAUCCAUGGGGGAUUGGGUACCCACUGUAAGGCCAACAGGGGCCGGUUUUAAGGGCUACCAUUCUUACCGUCCGCCAGGUGCACAAGUUCACAAUCAUCCCAGGCUCCUUCUUCAUCAUCGUGCCCUCCAUCCAAUCAUUCAAGUCAAGUACCAGCCGCCGCCACCGCCAUCAAUUCUGCUUCCUCAACAUCUCUCACAAGGGUAAUCUCUCCGUUCACAGGAGCAUCAUCCUAGUUCACACAAUAAUCAUCUCUUGACUAGAUUGCUCUAAUAUCCUUCUAAUUAGGGUCUUUAUCUCUCUUGAUUCUCCCAAUUAUUUGUGCCCUCCCACCCAAGUGGGAGUGGGAGUGUGUGUGUGUGCACACACACGCACGGAGAGAUACCAUGUGUACACACAGAGCUACACAAUAUGUAUAUAGAUGUACAAAUAGAAGCAGUUUGCUUUUGAUUGAUUCCUUCAUCUGAGAUACCUGGUCCUUCUCUAAUUUACACAGAAACCCAGUAAUUCCAUGUACAAAUCA
Molecule: long non-coding RNA, 656 nt
Filed under: Monodelphis domestica (gray short-tailed opossum)
Lineage: Eukaryota; Metazoa; Chordata; Mammalia; Didelphimorphia; Didelphidae
Description: lncRNA (ENSMODG00000031630.2)
Source: RNAcentral